AUUGAACGCUGGCGGCAGGCUUAACACAUGCAAGUCGAGCGGGGUGAUGGUGCUUGCACUAUCACUUAGCGGCGGACGGGUGAGUAAUGCUUAGGAAUCUGCCUAUUAGUGGGGGACAACAUCUCGAAAGGGAUGCUAAUACCGCAUACGUCCUACGGGAGAAAGCAGGGGAUCACUUGUGACCUUGCGCUAAUAGAUGAGCCUAAGUCGGAUUGGCUAGUUGGUGGGGUAAAGGCCUACCAAGGCGACGAUCUGUAGCGGGUCUGAGAGGAUGAUCCGCCACACUGGGACGGAGACACGGCCCAGACUCCGACGGGAGGCAGCAGUGGGGAGUAUUGGACAAUGGGGGGAACCCUGAUCCAGCCAUGCCGCGUGUGUGAAGAAGGCCUUAUGGUUGUAAAGCACUUUAAGCGAGGAGGAGGCUCUUUUGGUUAAUACCCAAGAUGAGUGGACGUUACUCGCAGAAUAAGCACCGGCUAACUCUGUGCCAGCAGCCGCCGUAA
Molecule: ribosomal RNA, 503 nt
Filed under: uncultured bacterium
Lineage: Bacteria
Description: partial 16S ribosomal RNA
Rfam family: Bacterial small subunit ribosomal RNA
Source: RNAcentral